Molecule: ribosomal RNA, 635 nt
Filed under: uncultured bacterium
Lineage: Bacteria
Description: bacterial SSU rRNA
Rfam family: Bacterial small subunit ribosomal RNA (bases 1-542)
Source: RNAcentral
CCUACGGGAGGCAGCAGUGGGGAAUUUUGGACAAUGGGCGCAAGCCUGAUCCAGCAAUGCCGCGUGCAGGAUGAAGGCCUUCGGGUUGUAAACUGCUUUUGUACGGAACGAAACGGUGAGCUCUAAUAAAGUUUGCUAAUGACGGUACCGUAAGAAUAAGCACCGGCUAACUACGUGCCAGCAGCCGCGGUAAUACGUAGGGUGCGAGCGUUAAUCGGAAUUACUGGGCGUAAAGCGUGCGCAGGCGGUUAUAUAAGACAGAUGUGAAAUCCCCGGGCUCAACCUGGGACCUGCAUUUGUGACUGUAUAGCUAGAGUACGGUAGAGGGGGAUGGAAUUCCGCGUGUAGCAGUGAAAUGCGUAGAUAUGCGGAGGAACACCGAUGGCGAAGGCAAUCCCCUGGACCUGUACUGACGCUCAUGCACGAAAGCGUGGGGAGCAAACAGGAUUAGAUACCCUGGUAGUCCACGCCCUAAACGAUGUCAACUGGUUGUUGGGUCUUCACUGACUCAGUAACGAAGCUAACGCGUGAAGUUGACCGCCGNGGGAGGUACGGCCGCGAGGUUAGUAAACGUUAAAGUAGUAAGUUAGUACGGACGUGAGACGUAGACCGACGGACGACGACGAGGGAGGAGG